CCUACGGGAGGCAGCAGUGAGGAAUAUUGGUCAAUGGACGAGAGUCUGAACCAGCCAAGUAGCGUGAAGGAUGACUGCCCUAUGGGUUGUAAACUUCUUUUAUAUGGGAAUAAAAUGUUCCACGUGUGGGAUUUUGUAUGUACCAUGUGAAUAAGGAUCGGCUAACUCCGUGCCAGCAGCCGCGGUAAUACGGAGGAUCCGAGCGUUAUCCGGAUUUAUUGGGUUUAAAGGGAGCGUAGGUGGAUUGUUAAGUCAGUUGUGAAAGUUUGCGGCUCAACCGUAAAAUUGCAGUUGAAACUGGCAGUCUUGAGUACAGUAGAGGUGGGCGGAAUUCGUGGUGUAGCGGUGAAAUGCUUAGAUAUCACGAAGAACUCCGAUUGCGAAGGCAGUUCACUGGACUGCAACUGACACUGAGGCUCGAAAGUGUGGGUAUCAAACAGGAUUAGAUACCCGAGUAGUC
This 460-nucleotide ribosomal RNA is filed under the name uncultured bacterium. Its description in RNAcentral is "partial 16S ribosomal RNA". It matches the Rfam family "Bacterial small subunit ribosomal RNA", at positions 338 to 795 of the family's 1533-position model. The record is from RNAcentral.